CGGAAACACGGUGCCGGAUAACGUCCGGCGGGGGCGACCCCAGGGAAAGUGCCACAGAAAGGAAACCGCCCCGCUUUCUCAACUGCCCGAUGGGCAGCUGAGAUGGCGGGGUAAGGGUGAAAGGGUGGGGUAAGAGCCCACCGCGCCUCUGGUAACAGCGGCGGCAUGGUAAACCCCACCGGGAGCAAGACCGAAUAGGGAUGACGCGAGCCCGCGAAAGCGAGGCUACAGCCUGUUUCCGGGCCAGUCAUCCGGGUGGGUUGCGUGAGGCGAUGUGCAAACGUCGUCCCAGACGAAUGGCUGCCACGUUCCGGUGCUUGCAUCGGGG
RNAcentral lists this unclassified non-coding RNA (328 nucleotides) under Neorhizobium huautlense. RNAcentral's name for it is "partial ribonuclease P RNA". It matches the Rfam family "Bacterial RNase P class A", at positions 62 to 325 of the family's 367-position model. Rfam says of the family: Ribonuclease P (RNase P) is a ubiquitous endoribonuclease, found in archaea, bacteria and eukarya as well as chloroplasts and mitochondria. Its best characterised activity is the generation of mature 5'-ends of tRNAs by cleaving the 5'-leader elements of precursor-tRNAs. Lineage: Bacteria; Pseudomonadati; Pseudomonadota; Alphaproteobacteria; Hyphomicrobiales; Rhizobiaceae. The record is from RNAcentral.